GCUUCGUUCGUCUAAUGGUAGGGCCGUUGCUUUACACGCAACAGACGGAGGUUCAAUUCCUUCACGAAGCACCA
Molecule: transfer RNA, 74 nt
Filed under: Pseudomonas phage PPSC2
Lineage: Duplodnaviria; Heunggongvirae; Uroviricota; Caudoviricetes; Vandenendeviridae
Description: tRNA-Val
Rfam family: tRNA
About the family: Transfer RNA (tRNA) molecules are approximately 80 nucleotides in length.
Source: RNAcentral